Molecule: ribosomal RNA, 443 nt
Filed under: uncultured bacterium
Lineage: Bacteria
Description: partial 16S ribosomal RNA
Rfam family: Bacterial small subunit ribosomal RNA
Source: RNAcentral
ACUACGGGAGGCAGCAGUGGGGAAUAUUGGGCAAUGGGCGCAAGCCUGACCCAGCAACGCCGCGUGAAGGAAGAAGGCUUUCGGGUUGUAAACUUCUUUUCUCAGGGACGAAGCAAGUGACGGUACCUGAGGAAUAAGCCACGGCUAACUACGUGCCAGCAGCCGCGGUAAUACGUAGGUGGCAAGCGUUAUCCGGAUUUACUGGGUGUAAAGGGCGUGUAGGCGGGGACGCAAGUCAGAUGUGAAAACCACGGGCUCAACCUGUGGCCUGCAUUUGAAACUGUGUUUCUUGAGUACUGGAGAGGCAGACGGAAUUCCUAGUGUAGCGGUGAAAUGCGUAGAUAUUAGGAGGAACACCAGUGGCGAAGGCGGUCUGCUGGACAGCAACUGACGCUGAGGCGCGAAAGCGUGGGGAGCAAACAGGAUUAGAUACCCUAGUAGUC